Non-coding RNA from Stegodyphus mimosarum, 45 nucleotides. Lineage: Eukaryota; Metazoa; Arthropoda; Arachnida; Araneae; Eresidae. The record is from Rfam.
AAAAAGGCACUUUUCAGGGCCACACAAUUUCAGGUACAGUUCUGU